RNAcentral lists this ribosomal RNA (409 nucleotides) under bacterium. RNAcentral describes it as "partial 16S ribosomal RNA". It matches the Rfam family "Bacterial small subunit ribosomal RNA", at positions 355 to 776 of the family's 1533-position model. The record is from RNAcentral.
UGGGGAAUAUUGCACAAUGGGCGAAAGCCUGAUGCAGCGACGCCGCGUGAGGGAUGACGGCCUUCGGGUUGUAAACCUCUUUCAGCAGGGACGAAGCGCAAGUGACGGUACCUGCAGAAGAAGCACCGGCUAACUACGUGCCAGCAGCCGCGGUAAUACGUAGGGUGCAAGCGUUGUCCGGAAUUACUGGGCGUAAAGAGUUCGUAGGCGGUUUGUCGCGUCGUUUGUGAAAACCAGCAGCUCAACUGCUGGCUUGCAGGCGAUACGGGCAGACUGGAGUACUGCAGGAGAGACUGGAAUUCCUGGUGUAGCGGUGAAAUGCGCAGAUAUCAGGAGGAACACCGGUGGCGAAGGCGGGUCUCUGGGCAGUAACUGACGCUGAGGAACGAAAGCGUGGGUAGCGAACAGG